UUCCACGUUCAACCCAAGAGCAGCUUGAAAGAAAGCUAUAAAUGCGCCAUUUCAUUUGAAAGGACGGACUGAAGGAACUCAACCAGAAUAGCUUGUAGUGGUCAACCCUUGGGUAGCUAACUAUGCUAUAGCUAGAGCAUUUUGGAAUCCGCGUCGGACCGGCCUAUCGAAGAAAGAGAUCAUUGAGCCUAUUUAGCCGUACCGUAGGGCUGGGAAUCGCAAGAAUUGAGAAGUCCAUAAGCAAACUACUACGCAAACGUA
This 261-nucleotide long non-coding RNA is filed under the name Aquilegia coerulea. RNAcentral's name for it is "long non-coding RNA (ACOE_LNC000390)". Lineage: Eukaryota; Viridiplantae; Streptophyta; Magnoliopsida; Ranunculales; Ranunculaceae. The record is from RNAcentral.